Molecule: unclassified non-coding RNA, 337 nt
Filed under: soil metagenome
Description: partial contains 5.8S ribosomal RNA, internal transcribed spacer 2, and large subunit ribosomal RNA
Rfam family: 5.8S ribosomal RNA (bases 1-120)
Source: RNAcentral
GAUGAAGAACGUAGCGAAAUGCGAUAAGUAAUGUGAAUUGCAGAAUUCAGUGAAUCAUCGAAUCUUUGAACGCACAUUGCGCCCGCCAGUAUUCUGGCGGGCAUGCCUGUUCGAGCGUCAUUUCAACCAUCAAGCCCCCGGGCUUGUGUUGGGGACCUGCGGCUGCCGCAGGCCCUGAAAAGCAGUGGCGGGCUCGCUGUCACACCGAGCGUAGUAGAUUUUAUCUCGCUCUGGGCGUGCUGCGGGUUCCGGCCGUUAAACCACCCUUUUAACCCAACGUUGACCUCGGAUCAGGUAGGAAGACCCGCUGAACUUAAGCAUAUCAAUAAGCGGAGGA